This 499-nucleotide ribosomal RNA is filed under the name bacterium enrichment culture clone ALO1_GLFRUDD03GQNIF. RNAcentral describes it as "bacterial SSU rRNA". It matches the Rfam family "Bacterial small subunit ribosomal RNA", at positions 9 to 504 of the family's 1533-position model. The record is from RNAcentral.
GAGUUUGAUCAUGGCUCAGAUUGAACGCUGGCGGCAGGCCUAACACAUGCAAGUCGAGCGGAUGACGGGAGCUUGCUCCUUGAUUCAGCGGCGGACGGGUGAGUAAUGCCUAGGAAUCUGCCUGGUAGUGGGGGGACAACGUUUCGAAAGGAACGCUAAUACCGCAUACGUCCUACGGGAGAAAGCAGGGGACCUUCGGGCCUUGCGCUAUCAGAUGAGCCUAGGUCGGAUUAGCUAGUUGGUGGGGUAAUGGCUCACCAAGGCGACGAUCCGUGACUGGUCUGAGAGGAUGAUCAGUCACACUGGAACUGAGACACGGUCCAGACUCCUACGGGAGGCAGCAGUGGGGAAUAUUGGACAAUGGGCGAAAGCCUGAUCCAGCCAUGCCGCGUGUGUGAAGAAGGUCUUCGGAUUGUAAAGCACUUUAAGUUGGGAGGAAGGGCAGUAAGUUAAUACCUUGCUGUUUGACGUUACGACAGAAUAAGCACCGGCUAACUCU